RNAcentral lists this transfer RNA (69 nucleotides) under Bos taurus (domestic cattle). It matches the Rfam family "tRNA". Rfam says of the family: Transfer RNA (tRNA) molecules are approximately 80 nucleotides in length. Lineage: Eukaryota; Metazoa; Chordata; Mammalia; Artiodactyla; Bovidae. The record is from Rfam by way of RNAcentral. RNAcentral also lists the same sequence under 1 other name.
CCUGGUGGCUUAGAUGGUAAAGAAUCUGUCUGCAAUGCAGAAGACCUGGGUUUAAUCCCUGCGUUAGGA